This 60-nucleotide transfer RNA is filed under the name Helix pomatia (Roman snail). Its description in RNAcentral is "tRNA-His". The record is from RNAcentral. Lineage: Eukaryota; Metazoa; Mollusca; Gastropoda; Stylommatophora; Helicidae.
CCAUAUAUAUGAUAAGAAGUCAGUGAGCAUGUGAAGCUCAAAGUCAUAAUUGUAUUUGGU